CGUGGAUGUGAGAGUGUGUGUUUGUGUGUUGCGUGAACUAUUUUUCCUGCGUGAAACACUUUCCAUACUGCGCCAUCCGCGGUGUUCUUUCUGCUUCAUCGGAGGACGAAUUUUUAUCAUCUAAUUGUUUGGUUUCAGAUGUGUGCUGCUACCGCUAGCUGUUCCUCAAACUACUUAAAAAGUGUGACACUGUGUGCACAGGCGUUCAAGUUUCAAUUGAUCCUCAAGCACAAAGCCUUCAUACAACACCGCGGUUGAGGCGCGCCAAAUCUGAUGACAUCUUUCCUGAACCAAGCAGGCUGAACACGCGCACCACCACGGGCUCUAGCGCGGUGUGAAGAGGGAAGAAGAAAAGACAGAAUUGGAAACAGCCGCACCAGGCUUCCAACCACCGUGUGUGUGUAUGUAAGUAUGUGAGAACACAUGUGUGAAUCCUCUUGUGGGAACUGCAAAAAGAAGAGAAUAAAGAGUGUGAAGCAGCUAGACUGCCGCAACCAAAUCAA
Anopheles gambiae (African malaria mosquito) is the source of this 503-nucleotide long non-coding RNA. RefSeq lists it as uncharacterized. The transcript has 3 exons. The record is from RefSeq and is a predicted model, not a curated record. Lineage: Eukaryota; Metazoa; Arthropoda; Insecta; Diptera; Culicidae.